Alosa alosa (allis shad) is the source of this 596-nucleotide long non-coding RNA. RefSeq lists it as uncharacterized. The transcript is spliced from 3 exons. The record is from RefSeq and is a predicted model, not a curated record. Lineage: Eukaryota; Metazoa; Chordata; Actinopteri; Clupeiformes; Clupeidae.
UCUUGGAUGCCGGCAGGUGUAACUAACAUUGCAUGCAAUCUAUCAAACUAUGUCAGUAAGGGUCACCUUUACACUACAUGUGUAUGUGUGCUCCCGACCCACCAACCUAAAACAGCUGAGACGGUGAGAAGGUAAACAAAAAAGAGGCGGACUUCGAGCUGGGGCGGCGUUUGAGGGUCCCUCCCAUACUUCGGGCGUACUUGGUAGGCGCCUAUCAGCGGCGCCUGACCAUCGGAGAAUGAAGAUGGCGGAAAAGCACAGGAUGCUUUCGAGCAGCAUCUCAAAGUUGUAGUUAUAAAUUGCGUCAUCUUAUCUCUGCUCAUGUGGCGUGGACGUUCUGGUGAACUGUUUAGCAACAAGGAAGCGGUGACUCCGAAAAGACUGGCUUAGGAGUGGAACAAAGGUAUGAGUGUGGGACUGGGAGCAUGUGGUGCAGCCAGUUCCGAUGAGCAGGAAGUAGGGAAGCCGAGCGAGAGGAAGAGGAAGAGGAAGUCCAGCAUGCUGGGCAGAUCCACUGCCCCGAGCCACUGUCCAGCAGCCAGGAUGGACACCUGUCACUGAGAGAGAAGAGAGCCCCCGAGAGAGAGAGAGAAGAG